ACAGCCAGGGCCAGGUUGAAAGACCUU
Molecule: non-coding RNA, 27 nt
Filed under: Rattus norvegicus (Norway rat)
Lineage: Eukaryota; Metazoa; Chordata; Mammalia; Rodentia; Muridae
Source: RNAcentral